UUAACAUUGAUUAAAGGAUUCAGAUAAUUUAUCCUAUAUUCUAAAGUGAAAGCUACCAUUAAGGAACAUGGCUCCAAAAUUUUAAUAUUUUUAAAAAAUAUUAAUUAAAUUAAAAUAAAUUUUAAUACCUAUCAUUUUUAAAAAAUAUAAUUUACAGGACUUCCAGGUAAACAUGGCUGCAGAGUAGACAUGGCUCACCUCCUUUCCUCAGACCUGACGACACAGACGACCUCAAAGGAUCACCCCCCCAAAAAAAAACAUCCUCAUAAGAUUGGAGGGACCCCAAACUAAGGCGCAGCACUGAAGGUUUUCUGUCAAAUCUUGAGGGAACAAGGAGUAAGCUGACUUCUGGAGAUCCAGUCUUUAAAGGGAUGAUGAGUGUAUCCAGACUUUUCAGGAACCCCUCAAAGCAAGGCAUUUUCUACUGUGAGGUUCUUGCUAGUGGAGAGUUUAGAACCAGUGCAUCUCUUUCAAGUGUAACAUAUUGGAUUUGGGUUGCUAAUCCUUUCUGCUACUUGCUUCCAUUUUAUGGAAAAAUAGAAGAUGAUUUUAAUUAAGUUCUGAGUGUCUCUGCUUUGGAGUGUGAAUAAGGGAGAAGCUAUUAGCUAUUUGAGCAUGUAGAAUUCAACUGGUUAGGAGUCUUUAUCCUCAGGAGUCAGCUCUAGGCUCAAGGUACUUAUACAUUUUAAUUUCAUUAAUAAUUUGUAAAAUAUUAAAAACUUUCUAAGAGACAGUGAUUUAAACUGGAUCCAAUUUUUCUUUUGGUUUUUGUCUAGACAGGUCAUUAAAGAUGGGGUAUGUCUGAUAAGAACAUGAUUGCUUGAGGCUAGAACUUCUACCCUUCCUCAACAUUCCUGUGAGAGAAGAGGAAGCCAGGAAUGAAAGGGAGGAGAGUACAGUGGCUGAGGUGAGAUUAAAACUGAAAGCAGAGCCCAAUAGGCAGAAAUAAGGGUGGGCUUGGAGAAUCAGUUCUGCCUCUAUAUGUUGGGAAGGGACACACCUAGUGCAGUCAAACUCUUCUAUCCACAGUGAUGCUCACUGACUAAACAGGACCAGAAAGUUGCUGCCUUUCCCCAAAUGAAAUGGUCCUUUAAUAGGACAGUCAUAUGCCUGUCAAUCUGAAAAACCCUAAAGAGCAUUCAUUGCAUAGCUAAUUGGUGGUUUGGUUUAUCUUCUCUGUAUAUUAUUUCCCUUCCUUUAUUAUAUGAUCCCGCCAAACUGAUUUAGUUACUGUCUCCCAUUCUUGUCCUGCCAUCCAUUUUUCCUUUCUUUUGUCUCACAAUAUUCUGUGUAGAAUGGACUUCUCAUAUUAUAAGUCUAUUGUAAAUCCCUUCAUCCACAUCUAGGUCAAGCUGUACUUUCUCCAUGAAACCUUCCUGAUCCACCAUUUGAAACUGAAUUCUCUAAUCUUCAUUCUUCACAGUAAUUUCUAUCUGCCUUUAUAACACUAGCACUCCACUUUGUAUCACAUGUUGAGUUGUUUCUCUAUAUUGUUCUUUUCUUCAAGUCAGGUCUUCUAGUUUUGUAUACUUUGCACAUGAUUUUAAUGAAGGUUUGUUGAAUUGAAUUGCUUGCAUGAAAAAUGUUUCAAGCUAGAACAAGGAGAUAGAUAGAUAAACCCCUCAAAUAUAACUAUCAUUUUUUUAACUAUGAAGAAGGCAAUGAUCCUUAACAAAACUAAAAAAGACUUUAUGUUUUAGAAAUCCAAAUAUAAAUACAAUAGGGUAAAAGUUUGACUGCUAGGAAUCAACACAGUUUUGCCACUUAUAAAAACUUUUCCCAGUCUUCAUUUGAAGCACGUGAGUUUCAGAAGAAAGAUUUUAGAUAAUUAAUGACACUGGAGAGUACAUGUUUAUAACACCCAUGCUUCAAGAACGGAAAGCGCAGAAUAACUAUUUUACAAGAUACCUAAGGCUACAUUUAAUAAGAAGAAAAUUGAUCUAGUAAGCAAGAAGAACCAUUUUCCAGACUUUAAUGUUUCAGUACAGUUCAUCUUCAAAUUAAAUCUCAGAAAUACCAAGAAACUGCAGAAAAUAAAUUUUGGCAUAAAUAUUAUGAUUUUGAAUUG
Long non-coding RNA from Monodelphis domestica (gray short-tailed opossum), 2068 nucleotides. Lineage: Eukaryota; Metazoa; Chordata; Mammalia; Didelphimorphia; Didelphidae. The record is from Ensembl.